AAAAAAGUCCCACGAUACUUGUUAUUCAUGCUCUGAAGAAUUAUCUUUUCUCCUGUCCACACAAUUUUCUUCUACUUUAUGGGCUUAGCCUUGGCAGAAAUACAGAUCUUCAUUACAUCAGCUGAAUCUACAAGAACACUACAACCUUUUUAACUUUGUCUUGACAAAGCCUGCCAGAGGUAGUGAACUUACCUGCCAUUGGAAUUCUUUGAAUAUUCUUUUAAACUUUAUUUGUAUUAGAGCUGAUCUUGAUACCUACCUUGAUAUCUUCUCAUCUAGAAACCCCUAAAGAGGGCUUAGAUCCCUCUCUAUUUCCUUCCAACUUCCUCUUUGGGCCUGCUUCCUCUGCUUAUCAGAUUUGGUUGAUGGUAAAUGUAAGAAUAACCGGGAUGUUUAUACCCGCAAUUCAGGGAGGCAGAAUAAUUGAUGGAAGCAAUGGAGAUGUUGCAGGGGACCAAUAUCAUCAUGAUCUUGUACCUACCGACAUGUUCGUCCUGCGUUCCAAUCCAUUCAAUCAUUUAAUGCACUCUUAUCAUUUGCACGAACAACCAAGACGAAUUUAUCGUAUAUUUUCUUGCAGGAUAAACGUCCCGUUUGGAAACGCAGCCGGCUGCAUUUCUAAAAAAUUUUAAAUUUUUUUUUAUUAAAAUUUAAUAUAAUUUAUAUGUUUUAGAUCGAUUUGAUGUGUUGAUGUCAAAAAUAAUUUUUAAAAAAUAAAAAAAUAUUAUUGGCAUGCA
Molecule: long non-coding RNA, 737 nt
Organism: Populus nigra (black poplar)
Lineage: Eukaryota; Viridiplantae; Streptophyta; Magnoliopsida; Malpighiales; Salicaceae
Exons: 3
Source: RefSeq, a predicted model, not a curated record